ACUAAUUUGGCAGAAAAUAUUGUAUCAAAUUUAGAAUUUGAAUAUGGGAAACCAAUUAGUA
This 61-nucleotide transfer RNA is filed under the name Ixodes acutitarsus. RNAcentral's name for it is "tRNA-Leu". The record is from RNAcentral. Lineage: Eukaryota; Metazoa; Arthropoda; Arachnida; Ixodida; Ixodidae.